This 446-nucleotide ribosomal RNA is filed under the name uncultured bacterium. RNAcentral's name for it is "bacterial SSU rRNA". It matches the Rfam family "Bacterial small subunit ribosomal RNA", at positions 354 to 796 of the family's 1533-position model. The record is from RNAcentral.
GUAGGGAAUAUUGGACAAUGGGGGGAACCCUGAUCCAGCCAUGCCGCGUGGAGGAAGACUGCCCUCUGGGUUGUAAACUCCUUUUAUAUGGGAAGAACCGUCCUCAUUAAUGAGUGACCUGACGGUACCAUAGGAAUAAGCACCGGCUAACUCCGUGCCAGCAGCCGCGGUAAUACGGAGGGUGCAAGCGUUAUCCGGAUUCACUGGGUUUAAAGGGUGCGUAGGCGGAUAAAUAAGUCAGUGGUGAAAUCAACGGGCUCAACCUGUUAACUGCCAUUGAUACUGUGUAUCUUGAAUAUGAGAGAGGUAGACGGAAUGUUGCAUGUAGCGGUGAAAUGCUUAGAUAUGCUACGGAACACCGAUUGCGAAGGCAGCUUACUAUUUCGUAAUUGACGCUGAGGCACGAAAGCGUGGGUAGCGAACAGGAUUAGAAACCCUGGUAGUCC